GUGUCAGCAGCCGCGGUAAUACGUAGGGGGCAAGCGUUGUCCGGAAUUACUGGGCGUAAAGAGCGUGUAGGCGGGAAUUUAAGUCAGAUGUGAAACCUCUGGGCUCAACCUAGAGCAUGCAUCUGAUACUGGAUUUCUUGAGGGUAUGAGAGGAAAACGGUAUUCCUAGUGUAGCGGUGAAAUGCGUAGAUAUUAGGAGGAACACCAGUGGCGAAGGCGGUUUUCUGGCAUACAACUGACGCUGAGACGCGAAAGCGUGGGGAGCAAACAGGAUUAGAUACCCUGGUAGUCCACGCCGUAAACGAUGGGUACUAGGUGUAGGAGGUAUCGACCCCUUCUGUGCCGCAGUUAACACAUUAAGUACCCCGCCUGGGGAGUACGGCCGCAAGGUUGAA
Molecule: ribosomal RNA, 395 nt
Filed under: uncultured bacterium
Lineage: Bacteria
Description: bacterial SSU rRNA
Rfam family: Bacterial small subunit ribosomal RNA
Source: RNAcentral